This 570-nucleotide ribosomal RNA is filed under the name Triticum aestivum (bread wheat). Its description in RNAcentral is "partial small subunit ribosomal RNA". Lineage: Eukaryota; Viridiplantae; Streptophyta; Magnoliopsida; Poales; Poaceae. The record is from RNAcentral.
AUGGACCAUUCCAUCCCUUAUUCCCAUGGCUAGGCAUCAGAUUUGGAUGACGAAUGUCUCGACGAACAAGUUGAUGAGGAGGGGUUCACGGUGAAGGAGGCCGAAGCUUUAGAGAAGGUAUUCGGGCAGGAUCAUCGGACUACAUUGUUCAAGGAUGUUAGUCUCGCGGAUGAAGCCAAGGUAGAUGGUGGCCAAGGUAUAUCUCUUGAUGUUAGGCCAAGAUCUCACCAUGAUUUGGAAGACGACAAGAAAGGGAUUGCUCGCGGGUCUAAGUUCGAAACCUUCUUAGAAUUUAAGAUGUGGCUCGACAACUACUCGGUUAUGCAUUGUCGUCCACACAACAUGGUGAACUCGGACGUCAAUGUGCAUUACACGGUUGCAUGUGAAGAUGAAAAAUGUCCGUGGAUUGUGUGUGCAAUACCAUGGAAAGGAGGUCCAACUUGGCACGUAGUGAGUUGUGUACCAAGUCACAUGUGCCGAGGCAAAAGGGUGGAUGGCAAGGUUGUGUCCCAAGACCACAGACAACUCACAUUCGAGUUCAUCGCUGAUAAGUAUCCAACGUAUCUAUAA